AUCCAGAUGAUGAGUCCCAGAUUAGGACGAAGUGCGUAUCUCGGAU
This 46-nucleotide non-coding RNA is filed under the name Trichobilharzia regenti. The record is from RNAcentral. Lineage: Eukaryota; Metazoa; Platyhelminthes; Trematoda; Strigeidida; Schistosomatidae.